Long non-coding RNA from Aphis gossypii (cotton aphid), 189 nucleotides. RefSeq lists it as uncharacterized. The transcript is spliced from 3 exons. NCBI's taxonomy places the organism in Eukaryota, Metazoa, Arthropoda, Insecta, Hemiptera, Aphididae. The record is from RefSeq and is a predicted model, not a curated record.
GUGGUGACCCACAACCACCUGCCGGGGGUUUAGGCGUUGACCCGCAUCCACCGGAUGGAGGUUUUGGUGGUGAUCCGCAGCCACCAGAUGGGGGUUUAGGUGUUGACCCGCAUCCACCGGCUGCAGGUUUCGAUGUUGAACCGCAUCCACCGGAUGGAGUUUUUGGCGGUGAUCCGCAGCCACCAGAUG